This 264-nucleotide ribosomal RNA is filed under the name uncultured bacterium. RNAcentral describes it as "partial 16S ribosomal RNA". It matches the Rfam family "Bacterial small subunit ribosomal RNA", at positions 793 to 1055 of the family's 1533-position model. The record is from RNAcentral.
GUCCACGCCGUAAACGAUGGGCACUAGGUGUAGGAGGUGUCGACUCCUCCUGUGCCGAAGCUAACGCAUUAAGUGCCCCGCCUGGGGAGUACGGCCGCAAGGCUAAAACUCAAAGGAAUUGACGGGGACCCCGCACAAGCAGCGGAGCAUGUGGUUUAAUUCGACGCAACGCGAAGAACCUUACCUGGGCUUGACAUGUGGGUGACAGCCGUGGAAACACGGUCUCCCUUCGGGGCACCUUCACAGGUGGUGCAUGGCUGUCGU